AUUUGAGCAUUUUAGCACACUGGCGUUGGACUCACACAGCUGCUAGCAGGGCUGCAUGCACUUAAUCCUCAUAACAUGACAUGUUUUCAAGGCAAGGAGCUGACUGCUUUUCAGUAACUCUAACUUUCACUUGUUUUAUCUCAGAGCUACUAGUGGUUUGACCUUUGUUAGGUUGGAGGAGGAGCAACACUUCAUGCUAUCUUCAGACAAUCAAUUGAAUGGGCCUGUAAUGCACAUGUUUCGCUUUCCAUGGCAUUCCUGGCAUGCAAAGUCAUGCUAGUGUUAAUUCUGCUACCAAAUUCCCUUCUUGGGGGAAGUUGGAUCCACAAAUCGAGAGGCUGAUUGAUUAACAUUUUGAGAAUGUGUGGGAGUGUGUGUCUGUGUGUGCCUAAUGAUCCAAACACAGGGCUUUAGUUAAAGCGUCUGUACAAGCAGCAGAUAAGGAGACCGAUGGUGCAGAGAGCAACAAGCCUUAACUUACAUCACUGGACAUCAGCCUCUCAGCCAAUUAUUUUUCACAGUUUGUCCAUUCCUGGAUUAAAAAAAACAAAAACAAAAACAAAAAAAAACAUUAAAAGCUGCAUAUUUAUUUGCAACUUUAGUUUGUUAAGGUUUCUUCUCCUUUUCCUCUGCACUCUUUACAAGAUAUGUAGAUUUGCUGUACAUCUCUGUGGAUGUUGCUACAACCAAAAAGUAAUAGCUACAGCUAAAAUGCAGGGUCUGAGUAAUUUUUAAAAUCAGUAAUUUUACUUUUACUUAAGUACAUAUUGUUGGAAGUAAUUUACUGUUACAUUUUAAAUACCUUCCGUGACAGAGUAAAAAUAAAAUAAAAUAAAAUAAAAUAGAUGAACUCGCACUGCGUCUGCGUGGCAGUAACUGUCCAUCUGAUUGGCUCUGAACAACUGCAACACCAGAAGGUCAGAAACAUCCAGAUGUUAUUGCCACUGAGGAGCUAGCUAAAAGAUGAUGAAGAUGAAGCAUGUACAGAGGAAACAUCCAUCAAAGAUUAAAGUCUACACUGACUUCAUGGCAGCACGGAAGUGAACCCUGUAACCAGAAAAACCCCCCAAGCAAGCAGAGUCCUGAAAACCAGCUCCUGUUCAAACUAAAUAGCAAGUUCAUUGAGUAAUUAAGGAGGAACUGUAAUCUAGAUCUAUCUGUGAUCUAUGUGUUUUUGUCAAUAUAAAUCUUUGUGUAUGUU
Molecule: long non-coding RNA, 1201 nt
Organism: Acanthopagrus latus (yellowfin seabream)
Lineage: Eukaryota; Metazoa; Chordata; Actinopteri; Spariformes; Sparidae
Exons: 2
Source: RefSeq, a predicted model, not a curated record